This is a long non-coding RNA of Xiphophorus hellerii (green swordtail), 288 nucleotides long. RefSeq lists it as uncharacterized. The record is from RefSeq and is a predicted model, not a curated record. The transcript is spliced from 3 exons. NCBI's taxonomy places the organism in Eukaryota, Metazoa, Chordata, Actinopteri, Cyprinodontiformes, Poeciliidae.
GACUGAAGACUUUUAUCAUUCAGUUUUUGGUAAAAAGAGAAAAAAAAAAGAAAAAGAUGAUAAAUCAAGCAAAUGAAAAUUAUUGAGUUUCUUUUCUUUUAUCAUGCGAUUAAUUGAUUUGUUGUUUAUUGUGUCAGGGGUAUAUUUAGCACAUAGAAAUAACCUAAAACAAGUUCAGUCUGCUUUAACUUCAAACGGUCUUAAGGUGUAUGAAAAUAAAUGGUUUCAACUGUAAAUAACACUUUCCAAGUUUAGGCGUUUGAUCAAGCUAAGAGAAGUUUUAUUUGU